RNAcentral lists this ribosomal RNA (305 nucleotides) under uncultured bacterium. RNAcentral describes it as "bacterial SSU rRNA". It matches the Rfam family "Bacterial small subunit ribosomal RNA", at positions 332 to 638 of the family's 1533-position model. The record is from RNAcentral.
CAGCCUACGGGAGGCAGCAGUGAGGAAUAUUGGUCAAUGGCCGAGAGGCUGAACCAGCCAAGUCGCGUGAGGGAUGACGGCCCUACGGGUUGUAAACCUCUUUUGUCGGGGAGCAAGACCCGCCACGAGUGGCGGAGCGAGAGUACCCGAAGAAAAAGCAUCGGCUAACUCCGUGCCAGCAGCCGCGGUAAUACGGAGGAUGCGAGCGUUAUCCGGAUUUAUUGGGUUUAAAGGGUGCGCAGGCGGCUCAUCAAGUCAGCGGUAAAAUGUCGGGGCCCAACCCCGCCCCGCCGUUGAAACUGCCG